GACGAACGCUGGCGGCGUGCUUAACACAUGCAAGUCGAACGAGACGAUUGAAAGCUUGCUUUUAAAAGUCGAGUGGCAAACGGGUGAGUAACGCGUAGACAACCUGCCUUUGAGAUGGGGACAACAGUUCGAAAGGACUGCUAAUACCGAAUGUUGUAUAUUUUCCACAUGGAAGAUAUAUUAAAGAUGGCCUCUAUUUAUAAGCUAUCGCUCAAAGAUGGGUCUGCGUCUGAUUAGCUGGUUGGUGGGGUAACGGCCUACCAAGGCGACGAUCAGUAGCCGGUCUGAGAGGAUUAACGGCCACAGUGGUACUGAGACACGGCCCAGACUCCUACGGGAGGCAGCAGUGGGGAAUCUUCCACAAUGGACGAAAGUCUGAUGGAGCAACGCCGCGUGAGUGAAGAAGGGUUUCGGCUCGUAAAGCUCUGUUGUCGGGGACGAAUGUGCAGUAUUUGAAUAAAGUACUGCAAUGACGGUACCUGACGAGGAAGCCACGGCUAACUACGUGCCAGCCGCCGCAGUAA
RNAcentral lists this ribosomal RNA (524 nucleotides) under uncultured bacterium. RNAcentral describes it as "partial 16S ribosomal RNA". It matches the Rfam family "Bacterial small subunit ribosomal RNA", at positions 28 to 523 of the family's 1533-position model. The record is from RNAcentral.